This is a long non-coding RNA of Hevea brasiliensis (rubber tree), 2288 nucleotides long. RefSeq lists it as uncharacterized. NCBI's taxonomy places the organism in Eukaryota, Viridiplantae, Streptophyta, Magnoliopsida, Malpighiales, Euphorbiaceae. The record is from RefSeq and is a predicted model, not a curated record. The transcript has 3 exons.
UUCCUCUUUAUUAUACUUGAAAUAAAAGCAAAUAUCCUAACUUGGUGUUGACCCACACCCAUCUGGAUCUCGUCGUAUCGGAUCUUACCCAUUUCUCUCCACUCUCAACACCGGAUCCUAUCUUUCACCAAUCCAAUUAUCGGAUCCUCUGAUCGGACUCUGUCCAGUUCCAACAAGCGAAAAACGAAGUUUCUUCUGCAAUCCUUACUGGUUCAUUCAACCCUAUGCAAUGGAAGUCUCAAAUGAAUCAGCUAUUAAGAAACCGAAGAGGUUAACUUCUGUCGUGUGGAAUCACUUUGAAAGGGUUAGGAAGGCUGCAUAUGUUAUGCUGUGUGCGUACAUUGUAAACAAGAAGCAUAGUGGGUCAAGUAAUAGUGGAACUACACAUUUGAGAAAUCACUUAAUGCGAUGCUUGAAAAGAUCAAAUUGUGAUGUGUCACAGCUACUUGCAGUGAAGAGAAGGAAAAAGGAGACCACCCCUAGCCUUACUAAUGUCAAUUAUGAUGAAGGACAAAGAAAAGAUGAAUAUAUUACGCCCACCACUAUAAAGUAUGAUCAGGAGCAAAGAAAAGAUGAAGUUAUUAACCUUGGAAGUGGUAGGUUUGAUCAAAAGCGGACUUGAUCUUGCCCGCAUGAUUAUAUUACAUGGUUAUCCUUUGACCAUGGUUGAUCAUGUUGGUUUCAAAAUAUUUGUCAAAAAUCUUCAACCUUUAUUUGAGGUUUUGCCAAAUAUCUCCAUUGAGCUCUCCUGUUUGGAAAUUUAUGGGAAGGAGAAACAGAAAGUGUAUGAAAUGAUAAAUAGAUUGCAAGGCAGAAUUAACCUCUCCAUUGAAAUGUGGUCUUCUCCAGAAAACACCGAGUACUUGUGUUUGACAGCACAUUAUAUUGAUGAGGAUUGGAAAUUACAGAAGAAGAUUCUAAAUUUUGUGACACUGGAUUCUUCUCAUAGUGAAGAUAUGCUUUCAGAAGUGGGGCAUUGAAUGCAAGUUGUUUGCCAUGAUCUUUGAUGAUUGUUCCACCGAUGAUGAUGUUGUCCUCAGAAUUAGGGACCGAAUCUCUCAAAACAGACCACUUUUGAGUAAUGGUUAGUUAUUUGAUGUACGUUCUGCUGCACGUGUUCUGAAUUGCAUUGUUCAAGAUGCCAUGGAAACACUCCGUGAAGUGAUCCAAAAGAUUCGAGGAAGUGUUAGAUAUGUUAAAAGUUAACAGGUAACACGGGGGAAGUUUACUGAGAUAUCCAAGCUAGUUGGAAUCAGCAGUCAGAAGAACUUAGUUCUUGAUUCUCCAAUUUGCUGGAACUCAACAUAUUUCAUGCUUGAAACGGGCUUAGAAUACAAGACUGCCCUUUCUCUGUUGCAAGAGCAUGACCCAUCCUAUACAUCACCUUUAAAUGAUACGGAGUGGGAACAGACAAGUUCACUAGUUAUUUGAAACUAUUUGUUGAAAUCACCUAUGUCUUUUAUGGAAACAAAUGUCCAACAGCAAAUAUAUAUUUUCCCGAGAUUUGUGACGUUCACAUCCAAUUAAUUGAAUGGUGCAAGAGCACAGAUGAUUUCCUUAGUUCCAAAGCAUUGAAGAUGAAAGCUAAGUUUGAUAAGUAUUGGAGCAAGUGUAGUUUGGCUUUGGCAGUAGCAGCUAUCUUAGAUCCCGGAUUCAAGAUAAGCUGGUAGAGUACUACUAUUCUCAGAUAUAUGGUAGUACUGCCCUGGAUCGAAUCAAAGAAGUUUUUAAUGGUCUUAAAGAACUUUUUAAUGCAUACUCUAUCUGUUCAACAUUGGUUGAUCAAGGUUCAGCUUUGCCUGGCAGCAGUUUACUCAGUGCCAAUACUGAUAGUAGAGAUAGAUUAAAGGGGCUUUGACUAGUUCCUAAAUGAGACUUCUCAAAGUCGGAGUAUAGCAUCUGAUUUGGACAAAUACUGAGAGGAACCAGUCUUCCCUCGUAAUUGUGAUUUUAACAUACUAAACUGGUGGAAAGUCCACACUCCAAGGUACCCCAUCUUGUCCAUGAUGGCACUUGAUGUUUUGGGGACUCCCGUGUCAACUGUUGCACCGGAGUCAGCAUUUAAUACUGGAGGUAGGGUGCUUGAUAGUCACCGAAGUUCACUAAAUCCAGACACUCGGCAGGCUCUGAUAUGUGCACGCAAUUGGUUGCGAGGGGAACCAGAAGAGCACAACCCAUUAUCUGCUCUAGCUCUAUAUGUUGAAGCAAGCUAAUUUUUCUAUGGUAGGUUUUCCUUACUAAUGCUGAAGACUAUAAUCAGGGCUGAGCCCAAAAAAAAUGAGUCCGUA